GCCACCCUAGCUCAAUCGGCAGAGCAGGCGCUUCGUAAGCGUCAGGUUGAGGGUUCAAUUCCCUCGGGUGGCU
Molecule: transfer RNA, 73 nt
Filed under: Anaerolineae bacterium
Lineage: Bacteria; Bacillati; Chloroflexota; Anaerolineae
Description: tRNA-Thr
Rfam family: tRNA
About the family: Transfer RNA (tRNA) molecules are approximately 80 nucleotides in length. Their secondary structure includes four short double-helical elements and three loops (D, anti-codon, and T loops).
Source: RNAcentral